Pelobates cultripes (western spadefoot toad) is the source of this 304-nucleotide non-coding RNA. NCBI's taxonomy places the organism in Eukaryota, Metazoa, Chordata, Amphibia, Anura, Pelobatidae. The record is from the annotation of a GenBank genome assembly.
AACCAGUUGAACAUGUAUGUUGCAACUGAUGGGAAGGUAGGUAUCUGUGUGGCACCAAUUAUAACACUGAUCCAGGAGGCCAACAUUUGGCUGUAGUGAUGUUUACAAAACACUGAAGUUAAAGGGACACUAUAAUCACCAAGACAUCUUUAGCUUAAUACAGCCAUUUGAAUGUAUAGAUCAUGUUCCUGCAGUCUCAAUGCUCAAUUCCCUGCCACUCAGAAGUUAAAAACGUUGUUUAUGUAGCCCUAGCCACACCUCCCUGCAUGUGACUUACACAGCCUUCCUAACACUUCCUGUAAAG